RNAcentral lists this ribosomal RNA (424 nucleotides) under uncultured prokaryote. RNAcentral describes it as "bacterial SSU rRNA". It matches the Rfam family "Bacterial small subunit ribosomal RNA", at positions 355 to 796 of the family's 1533-position model. The record is from RNAcentral.
UGGGGAAUAUUGGACAAUGGGCGCAAGCCUGAUCCAGCCAUGCCGCGUGGGUGAAGAAGGCCCUAGGGUUGUAAACCCCUUUCAGCGGGGAAGAUAAUGACGGUACCCGCAGAAGAAGCCCCGGCUAACUCCGUGCCAGCAGCCGCGGUAAUACGGAGGGGGCUAGCGUUGUUCGGAAUUACUGGGCGUAAAGCGCGCGUAGGCGGACUUUCAAGUCAGGGGUGAAAUCCCGAGGCUCAACCUCGGAACUGCCUUUGAUACUGUAAGUCUUGAGUCCGAGAGAGGUGAGUGGAAUUCCUAGUGUAGAGGUGAAAUUCGUAGAUAUUAGGAAGAACACCAGUGGCGAAGGCGGCUCACUGGCUCGGUACUGACGCUGAGGUGCGAAAGCGUGGGGAGCAAACAGGAUUAGAUACCCCCGUAGUCC